Unclassified non-coding RNA from Macaca fascicularis (crab-eating macaque), 148 nucleotides. It matches the Rfam family "Metazoan signal recognition particle RNA". From Rfam's summary of the family: The signal recognition particle (SRP) is a universally conserved ribonucleoprotein. It is involved in the co-translational targeting of proteins to membranes. The record is from Ensembl. Lineage: Eukaryota; Metazoa; Chordata; Mammalia; Primates; Cercopithecidae.
GCCAGGCGUGGUGGCGGACGCCUGUAGUCCCAGCUACUCAGGAGGCUGAGGCAGGAGAGUCACUUGAACCCAGGAGGCGGCGGUUGCAGUGAGCCAAGAUCGCGCCACUGCACUCCAGCCUGGGUGACAGAGUGAGACUCUGUCUCAA